AAUUGUAUCUUGAGCACUUUCACGGUUAUCUUAAGUUUGGCUGAACCCCAGCUUAUUUUCUACUUUCAAAAAUACUUAAGUAGUUUCAUACAGUGAAAUGUUUUUAUUUUACAGUGAAAAAUUAUGUUUUUUAAAGAAAACUUAAGAAGAAAAAUACUACACACACACAAAUACUAUAUACACUGUAUUAUUGCCAUUUUAUCUAAACAUCUAUCUAUUAAAGUCUACUAAAAAUUUUGAAUCAGUUACAAUGGUUCUGGGAGGUAGAGUAGUAGAUGAUUUUUAAAUUUUCUAUUUUCAUUUAAUUUUAUGGAGCAUGUUGAACAUACUAUGAUCCGAAAUUUUGUUAAUACGCUAAUGUUUACGCAACUCUUCAAUAACCAUAGAUACUAUGGGAAGUUAUCACCACAUAAGACAUACACACAGAUAUACACACACACACUAAGAUAGGGAGAUAAAAUCCCUAAGGAAACAUUAAUAGUAUUGUGAAAGCGAUCAUACAGAGAUCCUGAACUUGGACUUGAACUUCACAGAACAAAGCAAUGAUACACUUGGCUUGGGUGAUAAAAUUAUACAGAUACUGCGACUUUGCUUGGAUCAGUUGAAAAACAGAUUGGCAAAGAAUAAGUUCUCACUUGGAGGGGACUUUGUUCUCCAUAAUUCAUUCAGUCUGAUUUCAUGAGUUGAUUUUAAACUGUCCUAGAUGAUUUUUCUUCACAUGAACAAGGUUCUCUGUCAGUCAGAUGUUGGACACUUAUCUGUGAAGGGCAGAUUUCUCCAGCUGGUCAUAACCAGCCAUCUUCAGGUGGGAAGAACCAUAUGACAGCCACAGGUCUGUUCCUGGGUAGUCUACACAUCUUCGUGCUAAGCAGAGACCUUGUGAAGCCAUAAGAAGAUCCUUCCCUAGCUGGUGCUAAAUCAAGUCUUCAGGUUCUUAUUGAUUAUAAAACAUCCUCUGCAUUCUUUAGGCGCAAAGAUAGGACCAGUCUUCCGACUUCUUCCUUUCAGUACAGCCUUUUAUGAAUUUUUUCCUAUAGACAUUUCCUUUAAAUGGCCGCUUGAUCCAGACAUGUCAAGCACAUCCAGGGAAAAAUCUAGCCCCCACAAACGUCUUUCAUUUGCUAAGUCAAAAUGAGUCCAGCUGUUUAGCACUUUAGUGAGGAAAGACUUCCUAGAUUCAGCUUCCAUGAUUCAGGAGAUUCAGAUGAUGAAACUGUCCUGUGUGGAUGGUUAUAGAUGAAGCUUCAGAACCUGGUUGAGGAGGAGUGAGUUAUGCAGAGAAGAACAUACAGAUUAAACAUCCACUGCUCUUGCCUCAUAGUACUGAUCAUGGUUGAAUUUUAUUGAUUAAUCAUGUGCUUAGGGUCAGGCUCCCUGCUGAACUGAGCUUCAUGAGGGCAAGGACUAAGUAUUCCUUUAAGCUGAGCACACUGUACUAGGCAUAAUGCAGGCAUUAAAGAAAAUAUAUCCCUGAAUGGAUAAUUCUGGCAUGAAUAUGAAUAGUGGUCAGAAUGGGAAUAGUAAGUAAUUUCUUGUAUAAAUAGCUGUCUAGUUAUCUAAAUUAUCAGAAACAUCAUAUAAAAGUCUCUGCACAUGCAAAGUGCCCUGUUAAUGAGGAACCAAAAUAUUAUAUAUUUUCUCUCAAUAUGUAAAUUUUAUAUACUAAUUAAUAAUAAUAAUAGUGAUAAUUUUUUAUCAUUUCUUUGAUCCAGGCUCUACUCUUAGUACUUUGUCUAUAUAAUCUCAUUUGAUCCUCCUAAUGAAUACCUGAGUUAUCAGUUACAGAUAAGGCGAUUGUGACUCACAGUGGCCAUUGUCCCACAGUUCUGGUACCUACCCAGCUCUGUCUGACCCCAAGAGCCUAUAUGCUUAAGCAUAAUGCUGUACUCCCUCUCAAUUUGAGUUGCAUUAAAUAUCAUACAUUAUUAAAUAUUUUACAUGUAUUCAUUUAUUCAGGAAAAUUUUACCAAGUGUCUAGUGUGUACAAGGAGUUGGGGGCUUAAAAACAUUGAAAUAAUGAUACUCAGAGGCUCACAAAUCAUGAUGGCAGACAGUCUACAAUUUUAAAGAAAAAAAAUGGCAAUACUAUGGUAGAUCUAUCAUGCUAGAUAUGUAAGCCAAGAAGGGGUACAGUCAGAAGAGGUUCUCAGAGGUAGUGACUCUUAAAAUAAGCCUAGAAGAGUGAGUAGGAUUUUGACCUGCAUGUGUAAAGAUGGGGAAGACAGUCAAACAGAUCGAGCAUGGCAUUGCUUAGGGGCUACACAUAGUGGUCAUGAUCGUAUCAGAGAGUACAAGUUGCAGAGGCAGAGAGGGCAAACCAAAGAUAAAUGCCUCUAAGUAAGUGCUUUCUAAAGUGUGGCCCCCAGGGCCAGCAGCAUCAGCACUACCUGGGAGCUUCAUAGAACUGUCAUACUUGAUCCAUACCAACACCCACUGAAUUGGAAACUCUAGGAUGGGGUCCCACACACUGUAGUUUAACAAGCCCUCCAGAUGAGUCUGAUUGAGAACCAGUGGUCCAGGUCGCAAGAAAUCAGUAGAGUCAGAGAAGGCUCUACAGGAUUUUUCCUACACUGUUGCCUAGUUAGAGCAAAUUAUAUUGUCAAAGCAGUGAGAUUUUCUUAAAAGGCAGUUGCAGAAGUCUUUUGACUAGACUGUUAGCCUUCAGGAUUUGUCUUGGAAAGUAGCAAUUCAAUGACCAUUUAUAAGGCAUAGCAGAGCAUAUGGUUUCCAAACCCCUCUUUGUGAUUUGCAUGGGACCUAAAAAUGCCCUCUCGUUGUGGGAGAUUAUGGGAAGAAAAUGAAUUUGUAUGAUGCAAAAAAUGGUAGGAUGGUUUUAUUGCUCUUUAUAUGAGAAAUUUGCAGAAAACAGCAAAUAAUACUUUUAGUUUAUAUCCAGCUAUAACAACAGCUUAUUAUUUCUGAACAUUAAAUUACAGUCUAGCAAAAUGAAAUAGGCUACAUGGUCACUUCUUCAUGGAAUCUUCUUCUAGUAGCAGUUUUUAAAUGUGCAUGCUCAGCUAAUUGAAAACAGAAACAUUUUUAUAACUCAGAGAUCUUUGAAGUAGCAUCUAAUGGUUUGCAAUACUGACUGUACAGUGAUUGGGCUAAGAGUGUCUUCAUUUGAGCUGUUGACCCUAAAAAUGAUUCAAUAAGCAGGAAGCCUAGAGCCAUAAACUCUGCUUUGGCAGACUCACCAGAUAUUGAUAAGCAGAUAGCAAGUGAAAGCCAAGUGAACAAAAUUAUUGUGACCGAUUAUGGCCAAUGUCUAUUACCAAAAUAAUAAGUCAAAAGUGGAAAUUUGGGAUUUUCCUGGUGCUCUAGAGCUUAAAGAUUCAGCAUUGUCACAGCAGUGGCUCAGUUUGGAUCCCUGGGCUGGGAACUUUUGCAUCCCAUGGGCAUGGC
This 3402-nucleotide long non-coding RNA is filed under the name Sus scrofa (pig). RNAcentral describes it as "lncRNA (ENSSSCG00000060536.1)". Lineage: Eukaryota; Metazoa; Chordata; Mammalia; Artiodactyla; Suidae. The record is from RNAcentral.